This 244-nucleotide ribosomal RNA is filed under the name uncultured Staphylococcus sp. RNAcentral describes it as "partial 16S ribosomal RNA". It matches the Rfam family "Bacterial small subunit ribosomal RNA", at positions 96 to 334 of the family's 1533-position model. Lineage: Bacteria; Bacillati; Bacillota; Bacilli; Caryophanales; Staphylococcaceae. The record is from RNAcentral.
CGGCGGACGGGUGAGUAACACGUGGAUAACCUACCUAUAAGACUGGGAUAACUUCGGGAAACCGGAGCUAAUACCGGAUAAUAUUUUGAACCGCAUGGUUCAAAAGUGAAAGACGGUCUUGCUGUCACUUAUAGAUGGAUCCGCGCUGCAUUAGCUAGUUGGUAAGGUAACGGCUUACCAAGGCAACGAUGCAUAGCCGACCUGAGAGGGUGAUCGGCCACACUGGAACCGAGACACGGUCCAG